CGGCGUCACUCGGGGUGCCAAGAAGGCUGAGAGGGCACGCGCAACUGCCGCGCCCAACCCGUUGAACCUGAUCUGGUUAAGACCAGCGGAGGGAACGUGAUGGGAACCCCAA
This 112-nucleotide non-coding RNA is filed under the name Deinococcus hopiensis. Its description in RNAcentral is "TPP sequence". It matches the Rfam family "TPP riboswitch aptamer (THI element)". Rfam says of the family: Vitamin B(1) in its active form thiamin pyrophosphate (TPP) is an essential coenzyme that is synthesised by coupling of pyrimidine and thiazole moieties in bacteria. The previously detected thiamin-regulatory element, thi box was extended, resulting in a new, highly conserved RNA secondary structure, the THI element, which is widely distributed in eubacteria and also occurs in some archaea. Analysis of operon structures identified a large number of new candidate thiamin-regulated genes, mostly transporters, in various prokaryotic organisms. The record is from RNAcentral. Lineage: Bacteria; Thermotogati; Deinococcota; Deinococci; Deinococcales; Deinococcaceae. RNAcentral also lists the same sequence under 1 other name.